GAAAUACAUUUAAGCUUAUUAACUUAACUGCUAAUUUUGGGAAAUAACUGGAAUUUCAAAUUUUAGGCCAAAAGUGCAACAUUUAAAAGAUUUUCCAUCUCAAAUAUUUUUCCCAGCCUUACUGUUUUGAUCUAACGUUUGACAUUCCCUGCCAACAAUUAAUGGUUUAAUGAGUAAUCGAGCCAUGAAUAAACAUUGACAGCUAACUAAGGUCCAAACACAAUAGUAAUAGACAUGGGCAGUUAUUGGUAUAUGAACACAACCACAUACAGUCUAUACAAAUUACGCUGAUUACUAAGCAUGAUGUCAAACAUUGGGGGGCAGCAGCGUAUCAGCACUUUCUGGGUGCACUACAGGUGCAUGUGAAAUAAUGGAAGAGCUCCCACACUGACACCUCUGGGUGUGUGAAUAUGUCUGUGUAUAUCUGAG
This is a non-coding RNA of Pelobates cultripes (western spadefoot toad), 429 nucleotides long. The record is from the annotation of a GenBank genome assembly. Lineage: Eukaryota; Metazoa; Chordata; Amphibia; Anura; Pelobatidae.